RNAcentral lists this ribosomal RNA (468 nucleotides) under uncultured bacterium. RNAcentral describes it as "partial 16S ribosomal RNA". It matches the Rfam family "Bacterial small subunit ribosomal RNA", at positions 28 to 507 of the family's 1533-position model. The record is from RNAcentral.
GACGAACGCUGGCGGCGUGCUUAACACAUGCAAGUCGAACGGAAAGGCCCUGCUUUUGUGGGGUGCUCGAGUGGCGAACGGGUGAGUAACACGUGAGUAACCUGCCCUUGACUUUGGGAUAACUGCAGGAAACUGGGGCUAAUACCGGAUAGGAGCUCCUGCUGCAUGGUGGGGGUUGGAAAGUUUCGGCGGUUGGGGAUGGACUCGCGGCUUAUCAGCUUGUUGGUGGGGUAGGGGCUUACCAAGGCUUUGACGGGUAGCCGGCCUGAGAGGGUGACCGGCCACAUUGGGACUGAGACACGGCCCAGACUCCUACGGGAGGCAGCAGUGGGGAAUAUUGCACAAUGGGCGGAAGCCUGAUGCAGCAACGCCGCGUGCGGGAUGACGGCCUUCGGGUUGUAAACCGCUUUCGCCAGUGACGAAGCGUGAGUGACGGUAAUGGGUAAAGAAGCCCCGGCUAACUACGUG